UACGGAGGGGGCGAGCGUUGUCCGGAAUCACUGGGCGUAAAGGGCGCGUAGGUGGCUCACGCAAGCGUGCGGUGAAAGCCCGGGGCUCAACCCCGGGUCGGCCGUGCGGACUGCGGGGCUCGAGCACUGUAGGGGCAGAUGGAAUUCCGGGUGUAGCGGUGGAAUGCGUAGAGAUCCGGAAGAACACCGGUGGCGAAGGCGGUCUGCUGGGCAGUUGCUGACACUGAGGCGCGACAGCGUGGGGAGCAAACAGG
RNAcentral lists this ribosomal RNA (254 nucleotides) under uncultured bacterium. Its description in RNAcentral is "partial 16S ribosomal RNA". It matches the Rfam family "Bacterial small subunit ribosomal RNA", at positions 524 to 776 of the family's 1533-position model. The record is from RNAcentral.